RNAcentral lists this ribosomal RNA (881 nucleotides) under Monocercus arionis. RNAcentral describes it as "partial 16S ribosomal RNA". The stretch from base 605 to 881 matches the Rfam family "Bacterial large subunit ribosomal RNA", at positions 2074 to 2646 of the family's 2925-position model. The record is from RNAcentral. Lineage: Eukaryota; Metazoa; Platyhelminthes; Cestoda; Cyclophyllidea; Dilepididae.
UGCCUUUUGCAUCAUGCUUUAUAGAUUAUGUUCUAUAAGAAGAGAUUACCGAAAGGCCUAGGAUCAUUACAAUACUUGUUGGGAACUAAGUGUUUCUGGGUCAGGAUAAGGCAAAAGUAUUGUAAAGUAGUGAAAAAUUAUUCGUUGGGUCUUAUAUCUGUUAUACUAUAUUUGUUUUCAAUUAACAUGGCAAGUUUAGAUAUUUGCUAUGCGAUAAUACGAUAGCUACGGCCUAGUUAAAAAGGGGUUAAAGUUACCCAUUUUUAAGAAAAUUGUUAAAAGUUUUUUGUUUAGGUGCUUGUGUUUAUUAGAUAUAUAGUAUGCAUUAAUAACUAGGUUUAUUAAUUAUAAAAUAAGUAAUUUUAAUUCUUUAUUCAUUUCUCGAGCUUUGCCCGUCUGUUUAUUAAAAACAUUUCCAAAUUUUAUAAUAUUUGGUAGUGCCUGCUCUAUGUUUAUAUAAAUGGCCGCAGUAUCUUGACUGUGCGAAGGUAGCAUAAUUAAUUGCCUUAUAAUUGAAGGCUUGUUUGAAUGGUUUGACGUGGUAACAGUUAAUGUGUGAAGAUUUAUUGAAAUUUAUUUUGAGGGCACAGAAUCCUCAUUUAUUAAUUAGACGGAAAGACCCCGGGAUUUUGUUAUUUUGUUUGGGGCGAAUUUUAAUAAUUCAUUGAAAUUUUGACCCUUUAGGUUUAAUGGUUUAAAUUACCCCGGGGAUAACAGGGUAAUAAUCAAUAAGAGAUCUUAUCGAAUUGAUUGUUUGCUACCUCGAUGUUGACUUAGAUAAAGGAUUGGGCGCAGGAGUUCAAUCCUUAGGUCUGUUCGACCUAUAAUAUCUCCAUGAGUUGAGUUAAGACCGGCGUGAGCCAGGUCGGUUCUUAUCUAUU